GAUGAACGCUGGCGGCGUGCCUAAUACAUGCAGGUCGAACGAAACUUCUUUAUCACCGAGUGCUUGCACUCACCGAUAAAGAGUUGAGUGGCGAACGGGUGAGUAACACGUGGGCAACCUGCCCAAAAGAGGGGGAUAACACUUGGAAACAGGUGCUAAUACCGCAUAACCAUAGUUACCGCAUGGUAACUAUGUAAAAGGUGGCUAUACUACCGCUUUUGGAUGGGCCCGCGGCGCAUUAGCUAGUUGGUAGGGUAAAGGCUUACCAAGGCAAUGAUGCGUAGCCGAAUUGAGAGGUUGAUCGGCCACAUUGGAACUGAGACACGGCCCAAACUCCUACGGGAGGCAGCAGUAGGGAAUCUUCCACAAUGGGCGAAAGCCUGAUGGAGCAACGCCGCGUGGGUGAAGAAGGUCUUCGGAUCGUAAAACCCUGUUGUUAGAGAAGAAAGUGCGUGAGAGUAACUGUUCACGUUUCGACGGUAUCUAACCAGAAAGCCACGGCUAACUACGUG
This 512-nucleotide ribosomal RNA is filed under the name uncultured bacterium. RNAcentral's name for it is "partial 16S ribosomal RNA". It matches the Rfam family "Bacterial small subunit ribosomal RNA", at positions 28 to 507 of the family's 1533-position model. The record is from RNAcentral.